RNAcentral lists this ribosomal RNA (481 nucleotides) under Keissleriella poagena. RNAcentral describes it as "LSU rRNA". It matches the Rfam family "Eukaryotic large subunit ribosomal RNA", at positions 446 to 935 of the family's 3401-position model. The record is from RNAcentral. Lineage: Eukaryota; Fungi; Ascomycota; Dothideomycetes; Pleosporales; Lentitheciaceae.
UUCACGGCGAAGUGAAGCGGCAACAGCUCAAAUUUGAAAUUGCGGGCAGGCCAGCAUCAGUUUGGGCGACCGGAUAAAGGCCUCUGUCAUGUAUCUCCCUUCGGGAUGACCUUAUAGGGGAGGCGUAAUGCGGCCAGCCCGGACUGAGGUCCGCGCAUCUGCUAGGAUGCUGGCGUAAUGGCUGUAAGCGGCCCGUCUUGAAACACGGACCAAGGAGUCUAACAUCUAUGCGAGUGUUUGGGUGUCAAGCCCGGGACGCGUAAUGAAAGUGAACGGAGGUGGGAMCCYCUCCGGGGGGUGCACCAUCGACCGAUCCUGAUGUCUUCGGAUGGAUUUGAGUAAGAGCAUAGCUGUUGGGACCCGAAAGAUGGUGAACUAUGCUUGAAUAGGGUGAAGCCAGAGGAAACUCUGGUGGAGGCUCGCAGCGGUUACUGACGUGCAAAUCGAUCGUCAAAUUUGGGCAUAGGGGCGAAAGACUAAU